GGGGGUUUAGCUCAGUGGUAGAGCGCUUGCCUAGCAAGCAUAAGGCCCUGGGUUCGGUUCCCAGCUCA
This 68-nucleotide transfer RNA is filed under the name Rattus norvegicus (Norway rat). It matches the Rfam family "tRNA". From Rfam's summary of the family: Transfer RNA (tRNA) molecules are approximately 80 nucleotides in length. Their secondary structure includes four short double-helical elements and three loops (D, anti-codon, and T loops). Further hydrogen bonds mediate the characteristic L-shaped molecular structure. tRNAs have two regions of fundamental functional importance: the anti-codon, which is responsible for specific mRNA codon recognition, and the 3' end, to which the tRNAs corresponding amino acid is attached (by aminoacyl-tRNA synthetases). tRNAs cope with the degeneracy of the genetic code in two manners: having more than one tRNA (with a specific anti-codon) for a particular amino acid; and 'wobble' base-pairing, i.e. permitting non-standard base-pairing at the 3rd anti-codon position. The record is from Rfam by way of RNAcentral. Lineage: Eukaryota; Metazoa; Chordata; Mammalia; Rodentia; Muridae.